GAUCAGUGAAAUCGUUAGACCACAGCAUGAAAUCCACCCGAUGCUUGAUGCAUCCAAUUAUGGGGCAUGUCGAAAGAUCAAGUACAUCCAGCCACACAUAUAUAAGCACACUGUGAGCCUCGUUGGUCGUUGCACCAGUCACACCUCAGUGAGCUGCUUGAGACCUGCAGCUUGUAGAAGUAGGAGCAGCAGCUAGACUGAAGAUAUGCUUGGGAGGAGGAGAGGCGGAUCGUCAUCCAAGUCGCGUGAACCCAACACCGGGACGGCGGGCGCUGCUAAAAACGGUCAGGGGGUGACCGUCUCACAGUUCAUCACGCAGCUCGAUGAGUCUGUGACGAAGAGGCUGGAUCGCAUGAAUCAGAGGCUGAGGCUGCUUGAGCAGCAGAUGGAGACACUGGAGGCUGACGUCGCCAAGGCAAGCAGAGGUUCCGUUAACGUAGAAGGUUGCAGCUGAAUGGCCUAUUGCCUUAAGCGGCUCUGCAGGCGAAUUUAGAUGAUAGCAUCAGCGACUUCGCCUGGCACUGUAGGCGAGCACUAUGGUCGGACUCGGAAUUUUCAGGUCGUUUUAGAGGGCUCGAUACUGCAGUUAUAUUCCUUCGCUACUGCGAAACCAUCUGUUAUAUUUGGAUCACCAAUCAGAUUUUCUCUGUGCAAACUACAGAUGACACAAAUUCAUUGAA
This is a long non-coding RNA of Setaria italica (foxtail millet), 680 nucleotides long. RefSeq lists it as uncharacterized. NCBI's taxonomy places the organism in Eukaryota, Viridiplantae, Streptophyta, Magnoliopsida, Poales, Poaceae. The record is from RefSeq and is a predicted model, not a curated record. The transcript is spliced from 2 exons.